Long non-coding RNA from Cavia porcellus (domestic guinea pig), 7969 nucleotides. RefSeq lists it as uncharacterized. The transcript has 5 exons. Lineage: Eukaryota; Metazoa; Chordata; Mammalia; Rodentia; Caviidae. The record is from RefSeq and is a predicted model, not a curated record.
ACUGCCGACCGCGCCCACUUCAGCGGAAAAUACCAAGCUGGAAUCUCAUUGGCUUAGUUCUGGGCACGUGUCCACCCAGAACCAAUCCCAGUGGCCAAAGCAUGGGCUGUGAUGAUUGGCUAUAAUGCUUAUCAGUUAUGGGAAUAGGCUGCUGGCCUUGUUUUUGUCUCCUGGCAACACAUGGCCCUCCCUCUGCACCGCCCAGCUGGGCCCUGCCCUACACUGCCCUGUUCUGCCCAGCGGGAAAUGGUUCUUCUCCGCCCGGCUCAGGCGCUGAUCUCGGCUCAGCUCCAGCGCAGUGAUCACAAGAAACAGCGCCACUGUGCCAGGCUUCCACAGGACAGACUCUAAAAGGACAUUGCCAGAGGACAGGCCACCAUAUGACCUGUGCAGCCUGCGGUCACUGCAUGAGUCCCUGUUACACCUGCGUGGAGCUGAUAACCCUUGGCUCCGUAAAUUAUGAUGUUUGCCUGGACAGAUGGCUCCUGGAAAAACAGCCACAUUUCCCAGCCUCCUCUGUACCCACUGUGGCCAAAUGAUUCAAUUCUAGCGGCCCAGGCUCACAGCCCAGAGCGGGAGGACGCAGUAGAGGCACACAGGAGUGCCUCUGGGAGCCAUGACGGCGGGGUGAACUGAGGCCACGAGCUCCAGGAACUCGGGAUGGAACUGGCUGGCUGGCUGGCUGGCUGGCUGGAUGGAUGGAUGGACUGACGGUGGGUGCCAGUGGAAAAGGAAAUACAGUGAAUGCCAGGAGGAGCGAAAAGCUUCCCACAGGUGUUUAUCACACGGCCUGGAUUCAAGGCCAAACUGUACAUCACGGUGGUUACCGACUCCUCUCCUCAUCACUGUCCCGCGGCUGUCAUCCCUUGCGCGUCGAGGUGUCUUGUGUGGUCUCAGAGGACCCCAGUCACUGGAGAGGCCAGGGGUGGUGAUGCGCGCCCGUCUUCGCCGCCUCUAGGAGGCUAACUGAGGUAGGAGGGGUGUCAGUUUCAACCCAGCCUAAGCAGCUUAAUGACUUAGCCAGACCGUCUUGAGCAAAAAGAAAUAAAAAUAAGGCUGGAGAUCAGCAGAACGGAGCACGAAGAUCUUGGGUUCGAUCCGUAGUACUCCCCCCGCCAAAAAAAAAAAAAAAAAGCCAGAAAAAACCCAAAGAAUUACGCACUUGGUUCUAUUUGGUGCAUCCUGUGGUUUGGACCGGGUCUGACUGUUUUCCCAAAACUUCGCGGGCUGGAAUUUAAUCCCUGGCGUGACGUCACGAGGGGCGGGGCCUCUAUGGCGCUGACGCUGCGGGGGCGGGGCCUCCGACCUGCGGCGAAGAUCAAGUGCGGCGGAGCAGAACACACAUGAGCUUGUCUCGUGCCUGCUGACUCUCUGGCCGCCUGGGGCUAAGAAUGUUCAAAUCUUCGGAACCCUGAGCUCACAUUGGGCCCCCAGCCCGUACCGGAACACACAGCAGAUAACAGCAAACAAGACCGAGGACGCCUGCCACCACCGCCGCCACAUCUGGAGUCACUUGGGAAGUUUUUUAUUUUUAUAUUUUCUUAGUUGGGAAGUUUUUGUCUUGAUUCACUUUGGUUUUGGAGACAGGGUCUCCUUGUGUAGUUCGGUCUGGCCUUGAACUCUCUAUGUGGCCCAGGUUGCCCUUGACCCAUGGUGAUCCUCCUGUCUCAGCCGUCUGCAUGAUGAAAUUACAGGCAGGUGCCACCAAGCCCGCCUCUGUUUUCAGUCUCGCUAAUUUUCUCUCUGAGGACCUUGUUCUGGUCCAGGGGCGCAGCCAGGACAUCAUUCCGCUAUGCUAUCUCCUUACUGUCUUGUGACAGGUGACAGUGUCUGUAUUUUCCCUUCUCAUGCCUUUGACACCUUGCUCACAUAUUUUACAGAAUAUUCUCAAAGUGGAACAAACAUCUGACAUUCUCUCGGGGUUCAUUUGAGCCACUGGCUGUGGUGUAAUCCCAUUGUUCAGGAGGCUGAGACAGGAGUAUUGCCAUGAGUUUAAGGCCAGCCUGGGCUACAAAGUGAGCUCAAGGCCAGCUUGAACUACAUAGCAAGACCCUGUCUCAAAACAAACAAUAACAACAAAAAAAUUAGAGUAAUUUGAUUUACAUAAGUAAAAUUGGAUCUAUCUGUGAUCAUACUGGUCCAUGAUACCAAAUAUCAAACAAUUGGCAAACAUAGGUUUAACAUCUCUCAAUAAUUACUAACAUUUUGGAAGAGGCAAUAGGAGAGGCAAAAUCCUUAAAGUUUCAUCCACUAAUCUUACGUUUUUUGGCGUGGGGGUACUGGGAAUCGGACUCAGGGUCUCACGCUUGCCAGGCAGGCGCUGUGCCACUGAACUGCAUCCCCAGCCCACGUCCACUAAUCUGAGCACACAUGGGCAUUGCCUACUGCAGUUACCGCCAUGCAGCCCAACUAAGGGUUCUCUUAGACUCUCCCCUCUUUUCCUUCCCCUGUUCUCCUCUCCGUCUUGCUUGUCCUCCCUCCCUCUCCUCUUCUCUCCUUUCCUUUCCUGAUUUUCUUCCUCCACUUACAUUUUUUUUCUUUUUCAGACAAGAUCUCACUAUGUUGCCCAGUCUGGCUUCAAACUCUUGGGCUUCAAUGAUCCUCCUGCUUCAGCCUCCAGAGUAGCUGAGACUACAGGUCGCCGAACCAUGGACAGAAAAUCCUUUGUUUGUGUCUUUAAUAUUGGUCUUUUGUGGCGCCUGGUUUAAUGUUUUACUCCUCAACUGAUUAUGUACAACCUUGGCAUGCCUUUAAAAGUGUUUUUCUGGUUAAAAUAUAAAUAUAUAACAAUACAUAUAUAUGUUUAUGGUUUUUAGAAUCAUAUUGGCUUUACCAAAUAAAGCCAGGUCAUACUGUUAUUGAGCCAGUUUAAAAAGUUACAGUUUUUAAAGUGUAACAUUUUAAGGUGGUAAAAAGACAUAAAAUGAUUUAAUAUAUUUUAGACUAAUAAGAAAGUCACUUCAAGGAUUUUGUUAAAAGUUUUAAUGUCUAAAAAGCUAGAAAAAAAGGUAAUUGACGGGUAAUAAACAGCAACAGAAAAACAAAUGUGUUCAGAACUUGACAGUAUUGGAUCAGUAAACUUUUACUAUAAAAUGUUUCCAUUAAAAUAAGAUUAUAUUCUAAAAAGGGAAGGACAAACUGGAACCCUUUGUCAUCCCAAGUUUAUAUAAUGGUAAAAAGUCAGUGUUGACCAUAUAUAAAAUAUAUUUGCCUAUAAAAAUAAAAAUUAAAAAGGGCUGUAAUUCUCAGUCCCAUCUGGACUAGAAGCUAUCAGUGUUCAGAAUUGCUGGACUCCUCUUCCUCACCCGCCUUUUUCUAAGGACCCUCAGGGCCUUAUUUCUCUUUUGGAAUUUGUCUUCUCCAUUUAUCACCCCACUUGGGAUGACUGCCAGCAGAUUUUGCAGGUUUUGUUUACAGUAAAAGAGAGAGAAAAAAAUUCAUGUUGUGGGAUUAAAAAAAAAAAAAACAGUAUACAUUCCAAAUAAAAACCUGUCCUCUGAUCCCGAAUGCUAGAACCAGGUUUUCCCUUUGUCCCGCCCUGAUCCAACAACCAGAGGUAAGAAGGCUCUCGUUCAGUAUCGCCAGUUCUCAAAAGCCUUUAAGGGCUGCCAAAAAACCCACCAAUUGGUCCAAGGUAACAGAGGUGAGACAAUUAGAUGAUGAGUCUCCCUUGGGGUUUCUGGAGAGAUUGCUAGAGGCCUAUUACAUUUGUACACCUGUAGAUCUGGUAGCACCUAAAAAGGCAAGGGCCAUUAAUAAUACCUUUGUAACUCUCGGCACCUGAUAUUAAGCGAAAGUUGCAAAGACUUGAGAGAUUUAAAAAAAUACCCCUCAGUUAGUUAUUAGAGUUUGCUUAGAACUGACUCUUUCCUCCCAGCUGAUGCAAGCCAUUCAACAGAUUCCAGUUCCUGUGACUAAAAAGCAUAUAUGAGAAUUUCUAGGAGUCAUAGGAUAUUGCCUGCCUUAGAUUACAGACUCAUGAGACCAGGCUUUUUAGCAAUUGAAAUCAGCCUUAACAGACGCUCCAGGUCUGGCUCUGUCAAAGUUGCAAAAACCUCUUUCCCUCUAUGUUGAUAAAAAACAAGGGAUAGCAAAAGGAGUACUGACCCAGAGUUUAGGACCAUGGCAAAGGCCUAUUGCCUAUCUUUCCAAGAGACUUGAUAACGUGGCAGCCCAAUGGCUGCCUUGCCUGCAGAUGGUUGCCUCGGUGGCCCUCCUGAUAAAAAUGGCCCAGAAGAUGACAUUUGGACAAAAACUUUUAAUUAUCUCCUCUCGUUCCCUGGAGACUCUCAUCAAAGCUUCACCACACAGAUGGCUGCCUAUCAGGCAUUACUUCUCGAUCUGACUACCAUCAGUUUCAAGGGGACAGUGUCUUUAAAUCCAGAUACUCAGCUGCCUGAUGAUGACCUCUCCUUGCCCUUCUGAUCAUUUCAUGGGGCUUCAACCAGACUUGACAGAUGAGCCACUGUCCGGAGUUCCAUCAUAUUUUUCUGAUGAAAGCAGUCACAUCUAUCAAGGUAAGCAGGUCGUGGGAGCCGCUGUCACAGACUCUCAGAUUCUAUGGGAACAAAGUUUGGAGCCAAAAACAUCAGCCCAAUGGGCUGAACUCAUUGCCCUCACUGAGGCCCUCAAGUUGUCAGACUGAUAGCAGAUAUGCAUUUGCUACUGCCCAUGUUCAUGGGGCCAUUUAUCAGGAAUGAGGUUCAUUGACUUAAGGGAGCCAAAAGAUAAAAAUGCUCCCCAAGUUUUAGAUUUGUUAGCUGCCAUUUGGAUGCCAAGGAAUAUGGCUAUUAAAUAAUCUAACAGACGCAGCUACCCAAAAAGCAGCCACAAAAUCAGUGGGGAUUGAGACAAUCCUGACAUUGCUACUGAUUCCACCCACUCUGUCAGAGCCCUUUUGUACUCAAAAAGACUUACAUUUGGCAGCUCAACUCCAAGCAAAGUCUGAUAUCCCUGGGGCCUGGUACCAACUGCCUGAUAAUUGAGUCCUCCUCUGCAAGGCCUUGAGAUAAAAACUCAUCCAACAAGCUCAUAAGUCCACUCACAUGGGAGGAUCAAAAUUCGCUGCUCUUUUUGAGAUCAUUUCUUUAUCCCUCAGUUAUCGAAGCUUACUCAGUCUGUGAACGUCCUGCAGUGAAACCUAGGACACUACUCAUCAAGAGACAUCACCAUGAGUCUCUCAAACCAUGGUAAAAAAAACCCUUACACCGUGGUCCUCAGCACUGACUGCCAUCAAAGUCACGAAAAAGCCUGCCUCGAUUCAUCAUUGCCACUUCAAGCCAGUUCUGGCCUCUGACAGCGAUCAACCUACAGAUAAGUGGACUGUUGUUCCCUCCAAGAAUUCUUUAAAGCUUAAGAUUGCCAAGUGUAUCUGAUAAUCUUGUUCUUAAGUGCUAUUCCUUAUAAAGACCCCAAGGAGAUACCUUGUAACCCACUGUUUAAAACUCAAAAUUACUAUUUCACUGGUAAAUUAUUGGUAGCCAAUGCUACUGUCUAUGAGAUAAUUAAGAUAAAUUUAUGUUCCCUAUUAACAUCCCAGCAAAAAUUAGACAAAAAAUGUUGUUGGGUUUGCAUAUCAUGCUGCCUGAUUGGUUGCUAAUAGAGACUUACAGGGACCUACGUAUUCAAAAAAGUUACAGUCCACGGGCUGGUAUGUUUGUCCCCAAAAGCAACAGCCAGCCUCUGAUCAUAGGUGUUCACAGUCCAUAGAGAUAAAAUACUUUUGUAGACAUUGGGGUUGUAAAUUUGUAUUUCCUUGACAAAAAAAUAAAGGGGGUCGUUACCUCCUCACUCUGGAGACCCCAAUCUUCUGUUCUCCUCCACUAGACUUCCUGCUCCUGAGACCUUUUUGCCCUCUGCGAUUUCUGUGACAUCUCUAGCCCCUUCUCACCUCUGGACAUUGCUUAUGACAAAUCAACUUUUAAAUUCCUGUAUAGAUGACACCUUUUGUUGGUGGGAUGCUAAGCCCCUGCUCACACUGGACAAUGUACAGGGUGCUCAGGAACCUGUGUUUACUCUGCCUCCUACUCCUUGCACACUUCCCCUUAUGCUGCACUCUGUAAUCCUACCUCUUGAGCUUUGAUUUAUACAUUUUCCUAUCCUGCAAAUCAACACCUUGUUUCUCCCAAUGGAGCCUGGUUUGCCUGUACUUCUAAUAUAACUCCUUGUUCCAUGCAUCACCUGUUCACCCAGUGCCCUGAGUUUUACAUAGUAGUCCAUAUCUUUCCCCAAGUAUAUUGGUACUCUAGAGAUAAUGGUAAGAGUCACUUGUUUCCUAGCUUUGACUUAGAGUUCGGUAAAAACAAAAAAAAAUCCUGUAUGAUUACUGUAUUACUAAAAAUUGAGAUAACAAGGUCAAUAGGUUUAAGAGUGUCCAGCCUAAUAGUCAAAAGACCAAAAUUAUAGACACUUACAUACACUCGUUGACCAAGAUUUAACAGCCCUUAGUGACUCUGUCUCCAAAUUAGAUGAUUCUUUAAGUUCACUGACUGAGAUGGUUUUAUAAAACCAGCAGGGUCUAGAUCUCCUGUUCCUAAAGAAAGGAGGCCUCUGUCUGGCAUUAAAAAAAAUUGUUGUUUGUAUGCCAAUCAUUAUGGGGUUAUGAGACAAAAUAUGGCCAGCCUUAAAAGACAGCUACAAAAAUGAGAACAAGCCAGACAAGCUAAACAGAAUUGGUUUAAAUGAUGGUUUUCUCUAUCUCCCUGGUUGACAACGUUAAUCAUAGCAGCCUCCAGACCUCUGUUAAUCUUACUUACCUGUUUAACAAUUGGACCUUACAUUAUAAACAGAUUAGUAAAUUAUGUCAAAGACCAGGUUCAAACAAUAAAACUCAUGGUUUUAAGGACACAAGUUUAUGAACAAAUACCACUGCUUGAAAAUUCCACGAGCCAAUGAUUUGGCUCACUGACAAAAAUCAGUGGGGAAUGUUAUACUAAAAUGCUAAAAAUUAAAAUAAUUGAUUAAAAGAUAAACAAAAAUAGUUACUUAAAAAGGUAGUUAUUAGUAAGAUUGUCAUUCUGUACUGAGCUCAUUACCCUAGUAACCAAGCACCAACCACAUAGUUAUAAAUUAACUGACCACGUCGUUCUGCUGCUCUGUAAUGCAUCAUCCCCCCCACCUUAGUGACCUGUGUGCUAUGUCAACUUUUGUUCCCCUUGUAAGAGACAAAUGAUGCUAUGUCAACCAUUGUUCCAUUUAUGAGAGACAAAUGUUCCCAGAAUUGGCAGACCAAGGGCUAUGAAUUGGCUAACCACCCACUGUGAAAUGCUUCUUACCUCAAGCAAAGGGGAACAAGGCCCACCUUAUUUCUGUUUCUCAUCACUAUGUACUUAAUGAUCAAUGAGCUAAUCAUAAAUGAACUAUAAAAAUCAGUCAAAACUCUAACUCAGUUGCACAGCUUUGCAAAUUCCAUCUGCACUGUGUUGCUGGGCCAGCUAAAAUAAAAGCGCUUCUUUUAAAAAACACGUUUUGCCCCGUUUGUCAUCUUGGGGUCUUGCCCCGCUUUUCACCAUGGGGUCUUGUUUUUUAAGUAAAGUACAACAUAUAGUACAUGCUCAGUUAAUAUUUACCGAAGGGAUAAAUUCAUGAGGCUGGAAGAAAGAGAAAUAGAGAGGAAACAGAGGGGAGGAAAAACAAUCAUCAUAAGAGCUGGCAUCGAAUUAGGGGGUGGCAAAUCAGGAUGGACAAUGGGCGUGAACUGUCAAUCACAGAGAGCUGUCAAGUCAUGCCCAAUCAGGACUAAGCAACUGGGCGUGGCAUAAAGCUGUCAACCUUGGCCUGGACGCAUGCACAGAGCAGCUUCGAAAAAUCCUGAAAUCAAAAGACAGUAUAACAGAUGAGCCAUCGGGCCUCCUCACCACUGCCCUCUUGUUCUGGUGGUGGCCUGUCUCGCGUGCAGGGUUCAUCUUUUCUUUCUCCUCUUUUUUUCUUUUCUUCUUUUGUUUAAUAAACGUUAAACUGUUAAUGUUCA